Molecule: long non-coding RNA, 1042 nt
Organism: Micropterus dolomieu (smallmouth bass)
Lineage: Eukaryota; Metazoa; Chordata; Actinopteri; Centrarchiformes; Centrarchidae
Exons: 4
Source: RefSeq, a predicted model, not a curated record
UCCAAAUGCAGCACAGUGAAGUGUGGUGUGUCUUUAGAGCAGUGGCAGAAAUCAAAUAAGGUACUUAUAAUGAGCCUUUAAAAACUUCGGUCCAAAACCUAAAAACCAACUCCUUAUUUGGGCGUAAUUCAUUCACAAGGAGACAUGCUCACUUACUCACACAUAGGCACAGACAGAAGCUCCAAAUGAGGAAUCCGUGUAGGAAUGUGGACUUGUUGAUGGCAAAUUAUCCAUUCUCUGGGGUGACGAGCAGGCUGCAGACAGACAACUGAUGACUGAAGUCCCGUCAAAAGACAGAUCCUGCCUCAGGAAACCCACUGUCAAAAACUACAGUAAACAGAGUGCAGACGGAGGUGGACGGUGGGGUUUCCCAGUGACAGUGUACCUUCCACCAGCUGAAACAUUAACCUUUGUCCUGGAGACCUUCUCAGCUGCUCGCUUUUUCAGACGUCUGCAACAGUGAGACAUCCAAAUUCCAUCACAUACAGGGGAGAGACCACAUGCAAAUACGCACACAUACGCGCCGUCUCUGGGCUGCACACAUAAUACAUUUCUUUAAGCUUCUCCUGCACUCAUGCAACUGAAGACUAAAAAAGGACAGAGGGACUGACAGCACAGAAGAAUCUGACUGAAAGCAGGUUGGCUUUACUCCAGUUGUUGUUGUCUGUGCAUUAUGUGACCAACCAAAUCCCCCCCAAUCCUGGAUCAUUCCCCUGAGCCUCAGCCUUCACACAUGCUUGAGAGAAAACACACAUUUCCCCUCAGACUACUGUGAACCAUCUGCAGGGGAUGAAUAAAAGGCCUUCCACUGGACCGCAGCCAGGAAUGCUUGCAGUCAUACUGGAAGAACAAACUGGGCAAAGAAAACGGAGGUCUGAGAGUCCACUAAAGUAAUUGCUGUCCUCACAUACCACACAGAGCUGUCAGACAUUUUGGCACAUUAAAUGAUAAAUCAAUAAUCAAAUUUGUUGCCAAUCAUAUUUCUGUCGCUAAUUGUUUCAACUUUACCUGUUCUUUUCAUAAAUAAAUACUGAGACUUGAA